GAAAGGAAGCCCAGGAGCCAAACAAAGUACUUCAUAUCAGCAUAAUUGGAGAGACCUCAGCAUCUGGCUUCAUUUGUGAUGGUGAUACUAAAGACCCUCUUCCAGACCCAAAAGGAAUACCAGACACACCAAAGGAUUAUGUGGGUGACUUGCCUGACCCCUCAGCCUACCCCAGGCCUACAAGAAGGGUGUCCUCUUUGGCAUGCGCUUCAGCUGCGCCGCAUGUUUUGACUGACGCAGUCCUGAAUCAACAAGAAGAGAUCAAUACAUCAAUUGUUGGACUCCAACAGCAGCUGGAGGGUGUAUGCUACGGCCUGAGAGAGAGAAAUCAAUCAUCGAAAGAACUUGUUGAUUGUGUCAAACGUGUGAGACA
Oncorhynchus keta (chum salmon) is the source of this 373-nucleotide long non-coding RNA. RefSeq lists it as uncharacterized. The record is from RefSeq and is a predicted model, not a curated record. Lineage: Eukaryota; Metazoa; Chordata; Actinopteri; Salmoniformes; Salmonidae. The transcript has 3 exons.